CAUUAUGUAAAGUCCAUCAGGGACGUGCCCUGGGGGAACACUGUAGGCCUGAUGGGUAUGGGCCAGUUCCUGGUGAAGACAGGAACCAUCAGCAUCUUUGAGCAUGCUUAUAACAUGCAGGUGAUAAAGUUCAGCGUGAACCCCAUUGUUAAGAGUUCCCACAGAAGCCAAGAACUAGCUGACCUGCCCAAGCCAGUGGAGGGGCUGAAGAGGGCGGCUAAGCCAGUCCGUAUGGUGCAACUCACCACUGAGGAAUCAGGGGAUCAUUUCAUCAAUGGGGUGAUGAGCUGCACCCAUUGAUCUGCCUGAAGGACGGAGAGAAGAACCACACUGGACAUCCUAGCCGGUCGUGUAGCACUGCGAGACCGUCAGCGAGGAGUCCCUCCGUGCUGUGCCCGUCCAAAGCUCCCAACAAGCAGAGCCGGCUGUACGAAAAAGGCAGCUCUUCCCCAACUCCAUAGCCAAGGACACUGACAAGAGGUGUCUGUCCUUCAGGAGCCCAAGUAGCAGGUCUCAAUCUGUCGAAAAGUGUGAGCAAGACAGUGCUGAGACCCCUGGUACUUUGGGCUCUCGAGCACAAGUCACCCAGCACUACCUCAGUGACAUCCAUCAGGACAGCAUGGCAGCCGGCUAUCAAGAGGUGGAGCUGUGAGGAGCACUCGCGGGGCGUUUGCUUCCACUUCCCCAGUCUGACGCUGUGCACAGAUCCAUACAGGGCUUCCCAUACCCGGUGCUGCCUCAACGCUGCGUGCUGACUGCCUGCCCCGGGCCGUGGAGCCCAUUCACCUGUUGAGAUGUGGUGUCCGCUACACUGUCCUGCACAGGAAGCGGGGCCACGUCUUCGAGGAGUCCCAGGUGGCCGGUACCCCCGUUUGCAUCGACAAGUCCUUUGGCUUCACCGCCAACCUCAGGACCCACGCAGGCAGGUACCUCCAGAUCCUGCCCGCAGACCCCUCUGACCACACCAGCUGCCCCAGCAGGUCGUGGGGGAGACGUGCAGGCACAAAGGCCUGAAGGAAGGCAUUCCAGCCCCAGACAACUUCCAGGACAGAUGA
Molecule: long non-coding RNA, 1055 nt
Filed under: Bos taurus (domestic cattle)
Lineage: Eukaryota; Metazoa; Chordata; Mammalia; Artiodactyla; Bovidae
Description: long non-coding RNA NONBTAT024303
Source: RNAcentral